RNAcentral lists this long non-coding RNA (783 nucleotides) under Homo sapiens (human). RNAcentral's name for it is "HSALNT0387312". Lineage: Eukaryota; Metazoa; Chordata; Mammalia; Primates; Hominidae. The record is from RNAcentral.
GGCCCAGGAGUGAUAAGCGUGAACUAGAGAGUGCUGUGCAGGAGGAAGCUGGGGCCGCCGUCGGGCCUUCUCCCUCCAGGGGCCCAAGAGCCACUGGUACUCAGUGUCUGGGUGGGGGCAGGGGGGAUUUUUGUUCUCCCAGCACCUGCGGCUGUUGAGACCAGAGAAGCUGGUGGUCGACCACAGCCUGGGGUAUUAGUUCACCCCUAGCUUCUCCCCAGCGAGACCCCAGGGCCCUUGGGCACAGGGGAUUAAGCCUCUAUCUGCUUACGUGCAAGCGGAAGAAAUAGGCCCAGAGAGCAACAGUGGCGGGUCUGCAGUCACACAGCCAACUUGCGCUUGUGGCAGUGGCAAGGUUGGUGAGUAUCUGAGUCUUCAGGCCACGGCAUUUUCCGCUCGAGUGGAGCCUGAAGUUCUGAGGGUACCCCUCACUCAAGCUCCAGGCGUCAGGAAAAGAACAUUCCACGAAGUCCAUCUGGAAGACGGUCCUUUCCCUGCUGCCCCCAGGAAAAGGAAAAGAAAGAUCCCUCUACCCUUUGAGGUCACUUCCUGACCCAUUUGUGCAUCUAUGUAGAGUGGUUACAAACUCACAUCUCCCUGCCUGAAUGCCUCUUAUUAAUCUGGGGAUGGGUGGCAGGUCAGCAUGCCCAUGGGCUCUGACACCAGACAGGCUGAGGUUCAAAUCCAGCCCCCACCACCCACUGACUUAACCCACUCUAGCCCUCUGACAGCUAACCUGUGACAGGGCCUUUCUACCUCAUAUGUCUGAACCCACAGAGUGGU